UGCUUGACACAUGCUAAUCGAACGUCUAAUUUCAUUAGAAUUAAUUUAGUUAGAAGUGGUGUACAGGUGAGUAAAUGAUAUUAUGGCUACCUUGGAGUAAGGGACAUUAAAAUCCCUUAUAUUAUACAAAAAAAUUGGUAUUAAAGAAAUUUAUUUUCGCUUCAAGAUGGAAAUUAAUGUCUCGGGCAGGUAGUAGUUAAGGUAAUGGCUUAACUAGCUUAUGUCCGUAGUCGAGACUGAGAGGUCGAUCGAUCACAUUGGGUCUGAAAAAACCCCAAUACGUAUAGUACAGCAGUGAGGAAUAUUGGUCAAUGGCCUAACGGCUGAACCAGCAACUUGGGGGAAUGGAUAUAUAUAUUAGAGAUAAUAUAUAGUACCGACUCUGUCGGCUAAAGUUCUAGAUAGAAUAAUGAUAAUGACAAUUUUCUAUCUAUAUGUCUUGACCAAAUCUUGUGCCAGCAGUCGCGGCAACACAAGGGAGACUAGUGUUAUUCAUCUUUAUUAGGUUUAAAGGGUACCUAGACGGUAUAUCAAGCCCCAAAAGGGAACGGAUAUACUAGAGUUUUAUGUGAGAGGCAAAUAUAGUACUAUUGGUGUAGAGAUAAAAUUCAUUGAUACCUCUAGGCACGGGUAACGGCGAAGGCAAUCCUCUAUGUAAAAACUGACGUUGAGGGACGAAGGCUCGGGUAGCGAAUAGGAUUAGAUACCCUAGUAGUCCGGGCAGACAAUUAUGAAUGUCAUAGAUUAGAAAACAAAGAAGCUAGUAGGUUUGCUAUGAACAGACUGUAUAAUUUAAGAGUCUGUUAUUAAAUUAUACAGUCUCUACUGUAACUAGUUUAGAUAUUAACUCUUAGACUUCCUUAAACGAGAGUCUCUCAUUUUCCUUCGACUUCUCAUUAAAGGGGAGAGGCUCCCGAGAAGCAAAGCAGAUGGGUGUAGAAUGGGAGUUUAAGGAAGGUUUAUUUGCCUCUUGGAUUAUUCAACUUGUGUAUUAAAAAGGAUACGGGUAAAGGUUUGCUUCUUCACCUUCCUAUUUUUGGUCUAUAAAUGAAAGUGUAAGCAUUCCACCUCAAGAGUAAGGCGGCAACGUUGGAACUGAAAUCAUAGACCG
RNAcentral lists this ribosomal RNA (1111 nucleotides) under Lasiodiplodia theobromae. RNAcentral describes it as "SSU rRNA". It matches the Rfam family "Bacterial small subunit ribosomal RNA", at positions 45 to 916 of the family's 1533-position model. The record is from RNAcentral. Lineage: Eukaryota; Fungi; Ascomycota; Dothideomycetes; Botryosphaeriales; Botryosphaeriaceae.